CCUACGGGUGACAGCAGUCGAGAAUCAUUCACAAUGGGGGAAACCCUGAUGGUGCGACGCCGCGUGGGGGAAUGAAGGUCUUCGGAUUGUAAACCCCUGUCAUGUGGGAGCAAAUUAAAAAGAUAGUACCACAAGAGGAAGAGACGGCUAACUCGGUGCCAGCAGCCGCGGUAAUACAGAGGUCUCAAGCGUUGUUCGGAAUCACUGGGCGUAAGGCGUGCGUAGGCUGUUUCGUAAGUCGUGUGUGAAAGGCGCGGGCUCAACCCGCGGACGGCACAUGAUACUGCGAGACUAGAGUAAUGGAGGGGCAACCGGAAUUCUCGGUGUAGCAGUGAAAUGCGUAGAUAUCGAGAGGAACACUCGUGGCGAAGGCGGGUUCCUGGACAUUAACUGACGCUGAGGCACGAAGGCCAGGGGAGCGAAAGGGAUUAGAUACCCGUGUAGUC
RNAcentral lists this ribosomal RNA (446 nucleotides) under uncultured bacterium. RNAcentral describes it as "partial 16S ribosomal RNA". It matches the Rfam family "Bacterial small subunit ribosomal RNA", at positions 338 to 795 of the family's 1533-position model. The record is from RNAcentral.